UUUUGCUUUGAGAACAUAGUCUGCAUGAAAUUAAUAAUUUAGAUUUUGUUGACACUGUUGCCAAUAUUUGCAUGGUAGAGAAUAAUUUAUAUUCUGAUUAUUGAAUACAGGAUUCUAUGUGAGGACAUGAUCAAGCCUAUUGAGGGUAGUAUCUUUCAAUCUGUGCAUUGGCUAUUUUGCAGCCUGAGCUAAGCAAAUUUGCACAUUCAGAUUGAUGCCUCAUGGAGCAAAAUGACUGUUGCAGGUGGACAUGUGCAUCAAAGGAUUCCAUCACAGUAAACCUUAGGACUUCUUCAGGGAGCCGGAGGGAGAGAUGUGACCACAUUCUCCUGCUACGUAUGACUGGAGUAGCAUUUGGAAUUUAGCAUGAAGAAUGUCAGUAUAUGAAUGCUCCCUCAGGGUACCCAGACUCCACUGUGACAAUGCAGAGAGUGCAGAGCAGCUAUGAGAUGGAGAAGGGCUCCUUCUCCACUUCUGCAGGAAAUGAUGACUGAUAAAGCAGAGGAGUCUGCUGUCAGGCUCCAAAGCCAAAUGAAACGUCCUGGGAAACCCAUCACUCCUCCUCCGUCUAAGAAAAUGCAGAGGAUGGCGCUGCUGUCACUGAAAGAGAAAGGAGAGGAAGCAUCCCACCCCAGAGGCUCAGCCAUGUCCUUGGAAGAUGGAACUGAUGACUGAUAAAGCAGAGGAGUCUGCUGUCGGGGCUCGAAGCCAAAUGAAACGUCCUGGAAAAUCCGUCGUUCCACCUCCAUUUAAGAGAAUACUGAGGAUGACGCUGCUGUCAGAGAAAAAGGGAAGCGAGGGAGCAUCCCACCCCAGGGGCUCAGCCAUGUCCUUGGAAGAUGAUGACCCCAGGGUGAGAGCAAUGUCUGUGUCAGAAGUUCUGCCAGAUAAACUGCCAAUGCCAAUGGAAAUCAAUAUUGAAAUCAAAGAGCAAUUAAAGAAGGAGAUUCAACAGUUUGGAGGACAUAAGUAGAAUAAGAAUUUCUCUCCAUGAAAGCAGAGGAAAUCUGCUUUCUCAUCCUAUGAUUUAGACUACAUUCAACUGACCUCUUGAGGCUCAACCUUUGCCAGAAAUGGGUUUUCACAAUUGGAAUGGUUCCUCUUUAUUUGGACUAAAGUGUCCCAGUAAACGUUUUGU
This 1138-nucleotide long non-coding RNA is filed under the name Canis lupus familiaris (dog). RNAcentral describes it as "lncRNA (ENSCAFG00845026696.1)". The record is from RNAcentral. Lineage: Eukaryota; Metazoa; Chordata; Mammalia; Carnivora; Canidae.